Molecule: ribosomal RNA, 460 nt
Filed under: uncultured bacterium
Lineage: Bacteria
Description: partial 16S ribosomal RNA
Rfam family: Bacterial small subunit ribosomal RNA
Source: RNAcentral
CCUACGGGGGGCAGCAGUGAGGAAUAUUGGUCAAUGGACGGAAGUCUGAACCAGCCAUGCCGCGUGCAGGAAGACGGCUCUAUGAGUUGUAAACUGCUUUUGUACAAGGGUAAACCUGAAUACGUGUAUUCAGCUGACAGUACUGUACGAAUAAGGAUCGGCUAACUCCGUGCCAGCAGCCGCGGUCAUACGGAGGAUUCAAGCGUUAUCCGGAUUUAUUGGGUUUAAAGGGUGCGUAGGCGGAUUGAUAAGUUAGAGGUGAAAUGUCCGGGCUUAACUCGGGAACUGCCUCUAAUACUGUUGAUGUAGAGAGUAGAUGCGGUAGGCGGAAUGUAUGGUGUAGCGGUGAAAGGCUUAGAGAUCAUACAGAACACCGAUUGCGAAGGCAGCUUACCAAUCUAUAUCUGACGUUGAGGCACGAAAGCGUGGGGAGCAAACAGGAUUAGAUACCCCAGUAGUC